Molecule: ribosomal RNA, 467 nt
Filed under: uncultured bacterium
Lineage: Bacteria
Description: bacterial SSU rRNA
Rfam family: Bacterial small subunit ribosomal RNA
Source: RNAcentral
CGCCAGACUCCUACGGGAGGCAGCAGUGAGGAAUAUUGGUCAAUGGGCUUACGCCUGAACCAGCCAAGUCGCGUGAGGGAAGACUGCCCUAUGGGUUGUAAACCUCUUUUGUCAGGGAGCAACGCCGGCUACGUGUAGCCGGACUGAGAGUACCUGAAGAAAAAGCAUCGGCUAACUCCGUGCCAGCAGCCGCGGUAAUACGGAGGAUGCGAGCGUUAUCCGGAUUUAUUGGUUUAAAGGGGUGCGCAGGGGGAGAGUAAAGCAGGCGGUAAAAUGUGGGGGCCCAACCCGGGCGAGCCGUUGAAACUGGCUUGCUAGAGUGGGCGAGAAGUAUGCGGAAUGCGUGGUGUAGCGGUGAAAUGCAUAGAUAUCACGCAGAACUCCGAUUGCGAAGGCAGCAUACCGGCGCCCAACUGACGCUCAGGCACGAAAGCGUGGGUAUCGAACAGGAUUAGAUACCCCGGUAU